UNUGGCUUAACUGGGGGCUUGCGGUGGGUACGGGCCGGCUUGAGUGCGGUAGGGGAGACUGGAACUCCUGGUGUAGCGGUGGAAUGCGCAGAUAUCAGGAAGAACACCGGUGGCGAAGGCGGNUCUCUGGGCCGUUACUGACGCUGAGGAGCGAAAGCGUGGGGAGCGAACAGGAUUAGAUACCCUGGUAGUNCACGCCGUAAACGUUGGGCACUAGGUGUGGGGGGCCUUUUCCGGGUCUUCCGCGCCGUAGCUAACGCAUUAAGUGCCCCGCCUGGGGAGUACGGCCGCAAGGCUAAAACUCAAAGGAAUUGACGGGGGCCCGCACAAGCGGCGGAGCAUGCGGAUUAAUUCGAUGCAACGCGAAGAACCUUACCAAGGCUUGACAUGUGCCGGUCGGCUCCGGAGACGGGGUUUCCUCCUUGUGGGGCCGGUUCACAGGUGGUGCAUGGUUGUCGUCAGCUCGUGUCGUGAGAUGUUGGGUUAAGUCCCGCAACGAGCGCAACCCUUGUCCCGUGUUGCCAGCACGUUGUGGUGGGGACUCGCGGGAGACUGCCGGGGUCAACUCGGAGGAAGGUGGGGAUGACGUCAAAUCAUCAUGCCCCUUAUGUCUUGGGCUUCACGCAUGCUACAAUGGCCGGUACAGAGGGCUGCGAUACCGUGAGGUGGAGCGAAUCCCUUAAAGCCGGUCUCAGUUCGGAUCGGUGUCUGCAACUCGACACCGUGAAGUUGGAGUCGCUAGUAAUCGCAGAUCAGCAACGCUGCGGUGAAUACGUUCUCGGGCCUUGUACACACCGCCCGUCACGUCAUGAAAGUCGGC
This 820-nucleotide ribosomal RNA is filed under the name uncultured bacterium. Its description in RNAcentral is "bacterial SSU rRNA". It matches the Rfam family "Bacterial small subunit ribosomal RNA", at positions 603 to 1415 of the family's 1533-position model. The record is from RNAcentral.